AUGAACGCUGGCGGCGUGCUUAACACAUGCAAGUCGAACGAACCUUCGGGUUAGUGGCGGACGGGUGAGUAACGCGUGAGAAUCUGCCCUCAGGAGGGGGAUAACGGCUGGAAACGGCCGCUAAUACCCCAUAUGCCGAGAGGUGAAACGAAUUUCGCCUGAGGAUGAGCUCGCGUCUGAUUAGCUAGUUGGUAGGGUAAAGGCCUACCAAGGCAUUGAUCAGUAGCUGGUCUGAGAGGAUGAUCAGCCACACUGGGACUGAGACACGGCCCAGACUCCUACGGGAGGCAGCAGUGGGGAAUUUUCCGCAAUGGGCGCAAGCCUGACGGAGCAACGCCGCGUGAGGGAUGAAGGCCUCUGGGCUGUAAACCUCUUUUAUCAAGGAAGAAGAUCUGACGGUACUUGAUGAAUAAGCCACGGCUAAUUCCGUGCCAGCAGCCGCGGUAAUACGGGAGUGGCAAGCGUUAUCCGGAAUUAUUGGGCGUAAAGCGUCCGCAGGCGGUUUUACAAGUCUGUCGUUAAAGCGUGGAGCUCAACUCCAUUUCAGCGAUGGAAACUGUAAGACUCGAGUGUGGUAGGGGCAGAGGGAAUUCCCGGUGUAGCGGUGAAAUGCGUAGAUAUCGGGAAGAACACCAGUGGCGAAAGCGCUCUGCUGGGCCAUAACUGACGCUCAUGGACGAAAGCCAGGGGAGCGAAAGGGAUUAGAUACCCCUGUAGUCCUGGCCGUAAACGAUGAACACUAGGUGUCGGGGGAAUCGACCCCCUCGGUGUCGUAGCCAACGCGUUAAGUGUUCCGCCUGGGGAGUACGCACGCAAGUGUGAAACUCAAAGGAAUUGACGGGGGCCCGCACAAGCGGUGGAGUAUGUGGUUUAAUUCGAUGCAACGCGAAGAACCUUACCAGGGCUUGACAUCCUGCGAACCUCUGGGAAACCGGAGGGUGCCUUCGGGAGCGCAGAGACAGGUGGUGCAUGGCUGUCGUCAGCUCGUGUCGUGAGAUGUUGGGUUAAGUCCCGCAACGAGCGCAACCCACGUCUUUAGUUGCCAGCAUUUAGUUGGGCACUCUAGAGAGACCGCCGGUGACAAACCGGAGGAAGGUGUGGAUGACGUCAAGUCAUCAUGCCCCUUACGUCCUGGGCUACACACGUACUACAAUGCUACGGACAAAGGGCAGCAAACUCGCGAGAGCUAGCAAAUCCCAUAAACCGUGGCUCAGUUCAGAUCGUAGGCUGCAACUCGCCUACGUGAAGGAGGAAUCGCUAGUAAUCGCAGGUCAGCAUACUGCGGUGAAUACGUUCCCGGGCCUUGUACACACCGCCCGUCACACCAUGGAAGUUGGCCAUGCCCGAAGUCGUUACUUCAACCCGCAAGGGAGGAGGAUGCCGAAGGUGGGGCUGAUGACUGGGGUGAAGUCGUAACAAGGUAGCCGUACCGGAAGGUGCGGCUGGAUCACCUCCUAACAGGGAUAUUAAACAUUGAAUGAUGAUCAUCAAUUUUGUAUGGUCCAUUUAACUGUUCAUCUCUAGGUCGAUCGGUACCUCAAUGACCCUUCAAUUUUAAGU
Molecule: ribosomal RNA, 1560 nt
Filed under: Synechococcus sp. MW6C6
Lineage: Bacteria; Bacillati; Cyanobacteriota; Cyanophyceae; Synechococcales; Synechococcaceae
Description: bacterial SSU rRNA
Rfam family: Bacterial small subunit ribosomal RNA
Source: RNAcentral